RNAcentral lists this ribosomal RNA (484 nucleotides) under uncultured Glomeromycotina. RNAcentral's name for it is "SSU rRNA". It matches the Rfam family "Eukaryotic small subunit ribosomal RNA", at positions 596 to 1081 of the family's 1831-position model. Lineage: Eukaryota; Fungi; Glomeromycota. The record is from RNAcentral.
AGCGUAUAUUAAAGUUGUUGCAGUUAAAAAGCUCGUAGUUGAAUUUCGGGGUUAGUAGGUUGGUCAUGCCUCUGGUAUGUACUGGUCUCACUGAUUCCUCCUUCCUGAUGAGCCGUAAUGCCAUUAAUUUGGUGUUGCGGGGAAUUUGGACUGUUACUUUGAAAAAAUUAGAGUGUUUAAAGCAAGCUAACGCUUGAAUACAUUAGCAUGGAAUAAUGAAAUAGGACGUUCGAUCCUAUUUCGUUGGUUUCUAGGAUUGACGUAAUGAUUAAUAGGGAUAGUUGGGGGCAUUAGUAUUCAAUUGUCAGAGGNGAAAUUCUUGGAUUUAUUGAAGACUAACUACUGCGAAAGCAUUUGCCAAGGAUGUUUUCAUUAAUCAAGAACGAAAGUUAGGGGAUCGAAGACGAUCAGAUACCGUCGUAGUCUUAACCAUAAACUAUGCCGACUAGGGAUCGGAUGAUGUUAAUUUUUUAAUGACUCAUUC